Molecule: ribosomal RNA, 113 nt
Filed under: Dipodomys ordii (Ord's kangaroo rat)
Lineage: Eukaryota; Metazoa; Chordata; Mammalia; Rodentia; Heteromyidae
Source: RNAcentral
GUCUACAGACAUACCACUUGGAACACUAUUGAUCUCAACAGAUCUCAGAAACUAAACAAGUUCAGGCCUGGUUGGUACUUGAAUGAGCAAAAGCAUACAAAUAUAUGGAGCUU